This is a long non-coding RNA of Pecten maximus, 370 nucleotides long. RefSeq lists it as uncharacterized. The transcript is spliced from 2 exons. NCBI's taxonomy places the organism in Eukaryota, Metazoa, Mollusca, Bivalvia, Pectinida, Pectinidae. The record is from RefSeq and is a predicted model, not a curated record.
UUUAAUGUAUAUUGUAUUGUAUGUAGUAAUAUAUGGAUAUGUUGAAUGUCAAUUAUUUCCUUUAUAAAUUAAUUGAAAUAAUUUACUUAUUGGUAAAGAUUGUCCAGAAAUUGAAUUUCCCGCCACUUUGUUAUUAAUUAUUCCGUGUGGAUAAACGUUUUGGUUUAGCUGAUAGGCGUUAUGCAUUUAGCCUUUUAUAUUAAACAUUGUAGUUAGUAUACGCUGCCAGUACAUGUUAGUAAAUAUUGUUUAUUUUAUUAUUGUAGCAUUUAUAUGCGCUGUAAUAUUGUACGGGUUGUCUCCCCGGGAGUCGAGCCCUCUUCGUCAAAUGAAGAGGGUGUUUUAUGGACUAAUAAAUUAUGAAUUGGAA